This 253-nucleotide ribosomal RNA is filed under the name uncultured bacterium. Its description in RNAcentral is "partial 16S ribosomal RNA". It matches the Rfam family "Bacterial small subunit ribosomal RNA", at positions 524 to 776 of the family's 1533-position model. The record is from RNAcentral.
UACGUAGGGUGCAAGCGUUAAUCGGAAUUACUGGGCGUAAAGCGUGCGCAGGCGGUUUUGUAAGUCUGUUGUGAAAUCCCCGGGCUUAACCUGGGAAUGGCAAUGGAGACUGCAAGGCUAGAGUUUGGCAGAGGGGGGUAGAAUUCCACGUGUAGCAGUGAAAUGCGUAGAGAUGUGGAGGAACACCGAUGGCGAAGGCAGCCCCCUGGGUCAAAACUGACGCUCAUGCACGAAAGCGUGGGGAGCGAACGGG